Molecule: ribosomal RNA, 468 nt
Filed under: uncultured bacterium
Lineage: Bacteria
Description: partial 16S ribosomal RNA
Rfam family: Bacterial small subunit ribosomal RNA
Source: RNAcentral
GACGAACGCUGGCGGCGUGCUUAACACAUGCAAGUCGAACGGAAAGGCCCUGCUUUUGUGGGGUGCUCGAGUGGCGAACGGGUGAGUAACACGUGAGUAACCUGCCCUUGACUUUGGGAUAACUUCAGGAAACUGGGGCUAAUACCGGAUAGGAGCUCCUGCUGCAUGGUGGGGGUUGGAAAGUUUCGGCGGUUGGGGAUGGACUAGCGGCUUAUCAGCUUGUUGGUGGGGUAGUGGCUUACCAAGGCUUUGACGGGUAGCCGGCCUGAGAGGGUGACCGGCCACAUUGGGACUGAGAUACGGACCAGACUCCUACGGUAGGCAGCAGUGGGGAAUAUUGCACAAUGGGCGGAAGCCUGAUGCAGCAACGCCGCGUGCGGGAUGACGGCCUUCGGGUUGUAAACCGCUUUCGCCUGUGACGAAGCGUGAGUGACGGUAAUGGGUAAAGAAGCACCGGCUAACUACGUG